GGGGAAUCUUGCGCAAUGGGCGAAAGCCUGACGCAGCCAUGCCGCGUGAAUGAUGAAGGUCUUAGGAUUGUAAAAUUCUUUCACCGGGGACGAUAAUGACGGUACCCGGAGAAGAAGCCCCGGCUAACUUCGUGCCAGCAGCCGCGGUAAUACGAAGGGGGCUAGCGUUGCUCGGAAUUACUGGGCGUAAAGGGCGCGUAGGCGGACAUUUAAGUCAGGGGUGAAAUCCCGGGGCUCAACCUCGGAACUGCCUUUGAUACUGGGUGUCUUGAGUGUGAGAGAGGUAUGUGGAACUCCGAGUGUAGAGGUGAAAUUCGUAGAUAUUCGGAAGAACACCAGUGGCGAAGGCGACAUACUGGCUCAUUACUGACGCUGAGGCGCGAAAGCGUGGGGAGCAAAC
Molecule: ribosomal RNA, 400 nt
Filed under: uncultured bacterium
Lineage: Bacteria
Description: bacterial SSU rRNA
Rfam family: Bacterial small subunit ribosomal RNA
Source: RNAcentral